RNAcentral lists this ribosomal RNA (468 nucleotides) under uncultured bacterium. RNAcentral describes it as "partial 16S ribosomal RNA". It matches the Rfam family "Bacterial small subunit ribosomal RNA", at positions 28 to 507 of the family's 1533-position model. The record is from RNAcentral.
GACGAACGCUGGCGGCGUGCUUAACACAUGCAAGUCGAACGGAAAGGCCCUGCUUUCGUGGGGUGCUCGAGUGGCGAAAGGGUGAGUAACACGUGAGUAACCUGCCCUUGACUUUGGGAUAACUUCAGGAAACUGGGGCUAAUACCGGAUAGGAGCUCCUGCUGCAUGGUGGGGGUUGGAAAGUUUCGGCGGUUGGGGAUGGACUCGCGGCUCAUCAGCUUGUUGGUGGAGUAGUGGCUUACCAAGGCUUUGACGGGUAGCCGGCCUGAGAGGGUGACCGGCCACAUUGGGACUGAGAUACGGCCCAGACUCCUACGGGAGGCAGCAGUGGGGAAUAUUGCACAAUGGGCGGAAGCCUGAUGCAGCAACGCCGCGUGCGGGAUGACGGCCUUCGGGUUGUAAACCGCUUUCGCCUGUGACGAAGCGUGAGUGACGGUAAUGGGUAAAGAAGCACCGGCUAACUACGUG